AUUUGUUUAACUAUGGCAACAGGAAAUAGUGGGUAAUUUAACUGCAUAAAAUUUUUAUAGAUUGAUAAUUUAUGAUUUCAUCUUAGUCAUUAGCAGUUAGUAUUUUGAUAGAAUUCACGUUUUUUAAGGAGUUACUCUAUGAGAGGGGAUAGGACACAGUGCCAGCAUCCGCGGUUAUUCUGUUUUCUUUGUUUUCUUAUGAAUAUUUAAUUAGAUAAAUAGUAUUGAGGUUGGGUGAAAUUUUCUUAAGAUGCUUUAUGUGUAUUUAAUUGAGAAAAUGAUAAUUUAAUGCGACAGGGAUUAGAUACCCCAUUAGUUAUUGUUUUAAUAAUAUUCUAGUUUUAUAACUAAAAUAGUUUGGCAGCGAGUUAUUCCUGUCGGGGGAAGGUGCGUUGUAAAGGACGAUCCGCCAAGUAAUUAACCUAGUCUAUGUUGGUGUAUAUCUGGUUGAAUAUUAUUGCUUAAUAGCAUAAUUUGUGUAGUUUUAUUAUUAAGCCAAGUCUAUGUGCUGCAUGUUUAGGUUAUCGUGCGUUACUUUUAUAAUAGUCAUUUUGUAAUAUUUGAUGAUUUAGGACUCGAGAGUAAUGUUAAAUUAGUAUGUUUGCGUGAAAAGGGUUUAACUUGGGUACACACCGCCCGUCACCCUCGACUUUUGUUGAGGUAAGUCGUAACAUGGUAACCCCAAAUGAAUUUGGGGUUAAUUGUAAAUUAUU
This 713-nucleotide non-coding RNA is filed under the name Rhinebothroides sp. MZUSP 8017. The record is from RNAcentral. Lineage: Eukaryota; Metazoa; Platyhelminthes; Cestoda; Rhinebothriidea; Rhinebothriidae.